GAAGUGCGAUAAGUAGUGUGAAUUGCAGAAUUCCGUGGAUCAUCGAAUUUUUGAACGCAAAUUGCACUCUUCGGAAUUCCGAAGAGUAUGCCUGUUUGAGGGUCAUUAAAAUAAAAAUCGAUUCUGUUUACCUUGUCGUGAACAUUUUCGGAAUUGAGCCACCUUUGAGGGUAUAUACUUUUUUAAGAGGCUUAAAAUUGAUCUUUUUUUUUUUUUGGUAUGAUUUAAGCGUACUUAUAUUAACGCUUGAUGAAUAUCGGAUGCUUAUUAGGCAUGACUACGAUCGGUAGCAAUCGUGCCCAUAAUUGUUUCAUGACAUGACCUCAAAUAGGUAGGAUUACCCGCUGAACUUAAGC
This 356-nucleotide unclassified non-coding RNA is filed under the name plant metagenome. RNAcentral's name for it is "partial contains 5.8S ribosomal RNA, internal transcribed spacer 2, and large subunit ribosomal RNA". The stretch from base 1 to 105 matches the Rfam family "5.8S ribosomal RNA", at positions 50 to 154 of the family's 154-position model. The record is from RNAcentral.